Molecule: long non-coding RNA, 255 nt
Filed under: Struthio camelus australis
Lineage: Eukaryota; Metazoa; Chordata; Aves; Struthioniformes; Struthionidae
Description: lncRNA (ENSSCUG00000016740.1)
Source: RNAcentral
CUGGACUCGGGCAAACUGGGGUCUCUCUCUUCCCAGCCCACGUAGAUAACCUGGGGCAUGGCCUUCGCCUCUGGAGGAGCCAUGUGACCCUUCCUGGAGCAGCUGUCAGAUAUCACAGAACGGGAGUAUCACCAGGCCAGCGGGCUCGUGGAAAAUAUGCCCUGCAGAGCAUGUCAGGCGGAAAUGCUGUUAUGGAGAUGAAAAAAACCUGCUCCUCCUUCACUUUGCCACCUUCCUUGCUCAACAACUCUCUUG